This 429-nucleotide ribosomal RNA is filed under the name Gemmatimonadota bacterium. RNAcentral's name for it is "Gemmatimonadetes bacterium partial 16S ribosomal RNA". It matches the Rfam family "Bacterial small subunit ribosomal RNA", at positions 355 to 776 of the family's 1533-position model. The record is from RNAcentral. Lineage: Bacteria; Pseudomonadati; Gemmatimonadota.
UAGGGAAUCUUCGGCAAUGGACGAAAGUCUGACCGAGCAACGCCGCGUGAGUGAAGAAGGUUUUCGGAUCGUAAAACUCUGUUGUUAGAGAAGAACAAGGACGUUAGUAACUGAACGUCCCCUGACGGUAUCUAACCAGAAAGCCACGGCUAACUACGUGCCAGCAGCCGCGGUAAUACGUAGGUGGCAAGCGUUGUCCGGAUUUAUUGGGCGUAAAGCGAGCGCAGGCGGUUUCUUAAGUCUGAUGUGAAAGCCCCCGGCUCAACCGGGGAGGGUCAUUGGAAACUGGGAGACUUGAGUGCAGAAGAGGAGAGUGGAAUUCCAUGUGUAGCGGUGAAAUGCGUAGAUAUAUGGAGGAACACCAGUGGCGAAGGCGGCUCUCUGAUCUGUAACUGACGCUGAGGCUCGAAAGCGUGGGGAGCGAACAGG